AUUGAACGCUGGCGGCAGGCCUAACACAUGCAAGUCGAGCGGGGACUUCGGUCCUAGCGGCGAACGGGUGAGUAAUGCUUGGGAAUCUGCCCAGUAGUGGGGGAUAACGUCCCGAAAGGGACGCUAAUACCGCAUACGUCCUACGGGAGAACGAGGGGGAUCUUCGGACCUCUCGCUCUUGGAUGAGCCCAAGUCGGAUUAGCUAGUUGGUAGGGUAAUGGCCUACCAAGGCGACGAUCCGUAGCUGGUCUGAGAGGAUGAUCAGCCACACUGGAACUGAGACACGGUCCAGACGCCUACGGGAGGCAGCAGUGGGGAAUAUUGGACAAUGGGCGAAAGCCUGAUCCAGCCAUGCCGCGUGUGUGAAGAAGGCCUUCGGGUUGUAAAGCACUUUAAGCGGGGAGGAAGGUUCGCGGCCUAAUACGUCGCGGAAUUGACGUUACCCGCAGAAUAAGCACCGGCUAACUCUGUG
Molecule: ribosomal RNA, 472 nt
Filed under: uncultured bacterium
Lineage: Bacteria
Description: partial 16S ribosomal RNA
Rfam family: Bacterial small subunit ribosomal RNA
Source: RNAcentral